This is a long non-coding RNA of Doryrhamphus excisus (bluestripe pipefish), 2283 nucleotides long. RefSeq lists it as uncharacterized. The record is from RefSeq and is a predicted model, not a curated record. NCBI's taxonomy places the organism in Eukaryota, Metazoa, Chordata, Actinopteri, Syngnathiformes, Syngnathidae.
UGAGUACAAAAAUACUACCUACGUUUGUGCUGCCAUGUACUAUAAACAUGUAUUUUCGAAAGUAGCAGUGCACAAGUAAUGAUGGUGUAUGUGACAUCACCAAUGAUGCGCCGAUGACGUGACGUCAUCUGUCUUCGACAGCAGCCUGUAAAUUGGCACACAACCUUUUUUUGUGUUCUUGCUUAAACGUAGAUGCCAAAUGACCCACAAAAGGAAAAAAAUGUGAUAUCAGGUCCGAUCCACCCAAAGGAAGUCUCAAGCCGGCAGUGUACAGUCAGCUUCCGCGGUACAUUGAGAGCGUGAUGUGGAUCUCUACUCAUGGAAAGCGCAAAACAAUCACACAUGCAAGACCUGCCAACAUCAUCUCUCCCAAACAAGCCGGAGCACCAGAGCGUGUCCGGAAAGAACCAGAACUCCCAGCAUCAACACAUCAAGAGCCGAGACAAAGACCAGCACAGCCCCCACGCCGGAACAAAAGCUUACCCCCAGUCCUCCAUUAGCAGCAGCCUAGAAUGCAGCAAGGAGAAAAAAAAAGAAGACACGUGGUCUUGGACAGCAGACUCCUUCCUCUUUGGAGCAACAAGAGCAUCAACAGAAAAGCAGCUCGGCUUGCUUGUUUGUGUUUCUCAGUGAGGAGAGUGAUAAUCCUGUGGUGUUCAGCUGAAGUGGUUCUGACAGUGUGCUCAGCCGGAGGGAUGCAGGCGGAAAGGGAAGGGGGGGGUGGGUGUGUUGCUGUUGCUGUGUAGGGAGUGACCUGCCUUUGGAGGGGCUAACCCAGAAAGGCGCUAGGAAUCAGGAUAGUUACCAUUACAGUCUAACUCAGCACUUUAGGUUUUAGAAUGUUAACAUCUACAGAAGUCAAUUAAAUAUUAGAAACAAAGCCCCAAAAAAACAAUAACGCCAUGGCAUGGACAGAAGUUCACCCUGAUAAUCAUUAAUAAACAAAUCAGCACUAUGUUAUUUCUAUCUUGCUAAUAUUACUACAGAGCAUAUCUGUGUGGAUAUGCUAUCUUGUACUCAGUACUCAGUUCAGUUUUCUGCAAUGUCUGAAGGAAUUACUACAAUUUAGAGUUAUUAGCCCAAGAAUCUAAGUUCUAUAUAACUGAAAUAUUAAUGAAAGUUAUAGAAUGUGCACAAACAUUUAUUGGUCAUACAAAUUACCACUAACAUCAAAUUUUGCAGUGGUAUUGCAUUGGGUAUUAGGUAAUGCAUUAUAAUGCGUUAUUAGGUAAAUUAUCAAAUAUAUAUAUAUUGAACUGGAUGGGUGUAAAUCCAUCUAUCACUGGUUUACAUACUGAAAGCCAGUUUGUUGAAACUGCUGAAUAUAUGUAGUAUAGUCAAGACAAUACCAGUAAACAAUACAAAAUGUCAAAUCAGACAUAUUUUCUGCCGAGUUACUUUUUCCCAAUACAAAGUAAUUGCUAUUAUAAUUUUUUUGGUCAUACAAAUUAACACUAACAUCACAUAAAAACAUUUUGCAGUGGUAUUGCAUUAGGUAUUAGGUAAUGCAUUAUUGCAUCUACAGUAAAUGAUCAAAUAUAUAGAACUGGAUGGUUGUAAAUCCAUUUAUCACUGGUUUACAUACUGAAAGCCAGUUUGUUGAAACUGCUGAAUAUAUGUGGUAUAGUCAAGACAAUACCAAUAAACAAUACACAAUGUCAAAUCAGACAUAGUUACUUUUUCCAAUACAAAGUAAUUGCUAUUAUAAUUUAUUUGCUGUAAACUAUUUCGCAAUUUUUUUAGCCUGAGUUGAGAUCAUAGGUUCUGUUAUGAAUACCCCAAAUUAAUAUGCACAAAAAAUCUUGGUGUCAAUCCAUGGAUAUUAAUGCAAUCAGAAUACACCUUGGAAAAAGCUCAACUUUCAAGAACCACAACUGCAGUAAGAUACCACAGAUUAGCACGGAUACAGAACCUUGCUGUCUUGUUCGUCCUGAUGACCUCCAGUAGAGCUGACACCUCAUUCAAAGUGUGGACCCGUGUUGCUGUUGCUGGCCUGCAGCAUGUCGCUAUGCAGCACUCCUUUAACACACACACACACACAUGCACUACAGGAGUGAACUUUGAUAUUUCCCCGCUAAGACACAUCAGACCAUCAAUAAUUAGCAAGGGAGGGUCAUGCACAUUCCUCAGUCCAGCAGGAGAUGGACGCGCUGAUAGACGAAAGAAAGGUGUGACGCAGGCAGUGCUGAGUCAUCAAGUGGUCAACUGCCAAUCAAUUGUGGGGGAGGAACACAUCUCAGAAUAUUAAAAAAGUGACAGGAAUGGAUGAAAUAUGAGGACCUA